ACCCAGUUGAACCUCGGUGGUCCGUGGUGCAGGCUUCAAAAGGCGAAGCAACCUGUAGUCGAUUAGCAUCGAAGUGGUUCGAUUCCACCUGCUGGGUG
Non-coding RNA from Anopheles bellator, 98 nucleotides. Lineage: Eukaryota; Metazoa; Arthropoda; Insecta; Diptera; Culicidae. The record is from the annotation of a RefSeq genome assembly.